AGCAAUUCAUUUUGCAGUUUAAUCCAUCAAAAUGCUUUGCAGACAUAAUGGAGAUGACAUUCACAUUGUAGAGCUUGGACAAAGUUCACACAGGCUCGGCGCAGGAACUCAUCAAGGACAUGACUGUUGGGAUCACGCUUGUGGAUGACCAAACUGAGCACCAUCAGUCUGCAGUGAUGUGGUCCAGGUAAUAGAAGAAGAAGAAAUCUGGGUGAUCUGGGGUUGUAACACGUUGUGGGGUUGUGUACUGUGUUAGACGAUCUGGGACUGGUACUAACAGAAAUAAACUAAUUCAGGUUUAAAACAACUUGAGGUUUAGUAAAUUACAAUUUUCUUUCCUUUUUCUCUUUUGGGUGAACCCUUUACGAAAAUGUAGAUAUUUGCAUUGGAAAACAGCUUAAAAAUUUGGAAAACAUAAUUUGACAUUAUUUUCCCUUCAGUUUUAUUCCUUGAAUUUUCUAUAAUUGGUAUUUAAAAAGUCUUUAUAAAGCGUUAAAUGUAUCUCCAUAAAAUCAACAGAAACCCUGUUUAUGGACAUCGCCAUUCUUUAUUAUUUUGCUGAAUACUGUUUUGAAUCCUGAAAAAUAUUCAGUGCUAGCAUAUUGGCCAUUAGCAACUUUGCUUAAAGGGUUAGUUCACCAAAAAAUGAAAAUUAGGCCAUGUUUUACUCAUUCUCAAGUCAUCCUAUGUGUAUAUGAUUUUCUUCUUUCAGACGAAUCUGAUCUGAGUUGAAUUAAAAAUUGUCCU
Molecule: long non-coding RNA, 747 nt
Organism: Carassius carassius (crucian carp)
Lineage: Eukaryota; Metazoa; Chordata; Actinopteri; Cypriniformes; Cyprinidae
Exons: 2
Source: RefSeq, a predicted model, not a curated record